RNAcentral lists this unclassified non-coding RNA (312 nucleotides) under uncultured fungus. RNAcentral's name for it is "partial contains 5.8S ribosomal RNA and internal transcribed spacer 2". The stretch from base 1 to 133 matches the Rfam family "5.8S ribosomal RNA", at positions 22 to 154 of the family's 154-position model. Lineage: Eukaryota; Fungi. The record is from RNAcentral.
UGGUUCUGGCAUCGAUGAAGAACGCAGCGAAAUGCGAUAAGUAAUGUGAAUUGCAGAAUUCAGUGAAUCAUCGAAUCUUUGAACGCACAUUGCGCCCACUAGUAUUCUGGUGGGCAUGCCUGUUCGAGCGUCAUUUCAACCCUCACGCUCCGCGUGGUGUUGGGGCCUUGCGAGAGCAACCCCCUAAAUCCAGUGGCGGACACGCUAGGUCUCCGAGCGCAGUAAUUCUUCUCGCUUCGGGCGUCCGGCGUGGGCUUGCCUCGCACCCAUCUUUCUAAGGUUGACCUCGGAUCAGGUAGGAAUACCCGCUGA